AGCGAACGCUGGCGGCAGGCUUAACACAUGCAAGUCGAACGGGCGUAGCAAUACGUCAGUGGCAGACGGGUGAGUAACGCGUGGGAACGUACCUUUGGUUCGGAACAACCCAGGGAAACUUGGGCUAAUACCGGAUAAGCCCUUACGGGGAAAGAUUUAUCGCCGAAAGAUCGGCCCGCGUCUGAUUAGCUAGUUGGUGAGGUAACGGCUCACCAAGGCGACGAUCAGUAGCUGGUCUGAGAGGAUGAUCAGCCACAUUGGGACUGAGACACGGCCCAAACUCCUACGGGAGGCAGCAGUGGGGAAUAUUGGACAAUGGGCGCAAGCCUGAUCCAGCCAUGCCGCGUGAGUGAUGAAGGCCCUAGGGUUGUAAAGCUCUUUUGUGCGGGAAGAU
RNAcentral lists this ribosomal RNA (394 nucleotides) under uncultured bacterium. RNAcentral describes it as "bacterial SSU rRNA". It matches the Rfam family "Bacterial small subunit ribosomal RNA", at positions 29 to 449 of the family's 1533-position model. The record is from RNAcentral.